GACGAACGCUGGCGGCGCGCUUAACACAUGCCAGUCGAACGGAAAGGCCUGCUUUCCCUUGUGGAUUGCGGGUACUCGAGUGGCGAACGGGUGAGUAACACGUGAGUGAUCUGCCCCCAACUUGGGUAUAAGCCUGGGAAACUGGGUCUAAUUCCCGAUAGGACUGCAGGGUGGUGCCUGUGGUGGAAAACGAUUUUCUAGUGGUUGGGGAUGAGCUCGCGGCCUAUCAGCUUGUUGGUGGGGUAAUGGCCUACCAAGGCGGCGACGGGUAGCCGGCCUGAGAGGGUGGACGGCCACAUUGGGACUGAGAUACGGCCCAGACUCCUACGGGAGGCAGCAGUGGGGAAUAUUGCACAAUGGGCGGAAGCCUGAUGCAGCGACGCCGCGUGGGGGAUGACGGCCUUCGGGUGGUAAACUCCUUCCGACCGCGAGGAAGCCACCUGGUUGGAAGGGUGGUGACGGUAGUGGUAGAAGAAGCACCGGCUAACUACGUG
Molecule: ribosomal RNA, 494 nt
Filed under: uncultured bacterium
Lineage: Bacteria
Description: partial 16S ribosomal RNA
Rfam family: Bacterial small subunit ribosomal RNA
Source: RNAcentral